RNAcentral lists this ribosomal RNA (605 nucleotides) under Bifidobacterium adolescentis. RNAcentral describes it as "bacterial SSU rRNA". It matches the Rfam family "Bacterial small subunit ribosomal RNA", at positions 73 to 688 of the family's 1533-position model. The record is from RNAcentral. Lineage: Bacteria; Bacillati; Actinomycetota; Actinomycetes; Bifidobacteriales; Bifidobacteriaceae.
CAGGAGCUUGCUCCUGGGUGAGAGUGGCGAACGGGUGAGUAAUGCGUGACCGACCUGCCCCAUACACCGGAAUAGCUCCUGGAAACGGGUGGUAAUGCCGGAUGCUCCAGUUGACCGCAUGGUCCUCUGGGAAAGAUUUUGCGGUAUGGGAUGGGGUCGCGUCCUAUCAGCUUGAUGGCGGGGUAACGGCCCACCAUGGCUUCGACGGGUAGCCGGCCUGAGAGGGCGACCGGCCACAUUGGGACUGAGAUACGGCCCAGACUCCUACGGGAGGCAGCAGUGGGGAAUAUUGCACAAUGGGCGCAAGCCUGAUGCAGCGACGCCGCGUGCGGGAUGACGGCCUUCGGGUUGUAAACCGCUUUUGACUGGGAGCAAGCCCUUCGGGGUGAGUGUACCUUUCGAAUAAGCACCGGCUAACUACGUGCCAGCAGCCGCGGUAAUACGUAGGGUGCAAGCGUUAUCCGGAAUUAUUGGGCGUAAAGGGCUCGUAGGCGGUUCGUCGCGUCCGGUGUGAAAGUCCAUCGCUUUAACGGUGGAUCCGCGCCGGGUACGGGCGGCCUUGAAUGCGGGAGGGGAGACUGGAAUUCCCGUGUAACGGUGCAAUG